UCUGUAGGUGGUUUAAUAAGUCAACUGUUAAAUCUUGAGGCUCAACCUCAAAAUCGCAGUCGAAACUAUUAGACUAGAGUAUAGUAGGGGUAAAGGGAAUUUCCAGCGGAGCGGUGAAAUGCGUAGAUAUUGGAAGGAACACCGAUGGCGAAGGCACUUUACUGGGCUAUUACUAACACUCAGAGACGAAAGCUAGGGUAGCAAAUG
Molecule: ribosomal RNA, 207 nt
Filed under: uncultured bacterium
Lineage: Bacteria
Description: partial 16S ribosomal RNA
Rfam family: Bacterial small subunit ribosomal RNA
Source: RNAcentral